UAAUACGGAGGGGGUUAGCGUUGUUCGGAAUUACUGGGCGUAAAGCGUACGUAGGCGGAUCAGAAAGUUGGGGGUGAAAUCCCGGGGCUCAACCCCGGAACUGCCUCCAAAACUCCUGGUCUUGAGUUCGAGAGAGGUGAGUGGAAUUCCAAGUGUAGAGGUGAAAUUCGUAGAUAUUUGGAGGAACACCAGUGGCGAAGGCGGCUCACUGGCUCGAUACUGACGCUGAGGUACGAAAGUGUGGGGAGCAAACAGGAUUAGAUACCCUGGUAGUCCACACCGUAAACGAUGAAUGCCAGUCGUCGGGCAGUAUACUGUUCGGUGACACACCUAACGGAUUAAGCAUUCCGCCUGGGGAGUACGGUCGCAAGAUUA
RNAcentral lists this ribosomal RNA (375 nucleotides) under uncultured bacterium. RNAcentral describes it as "bacterial SSU rRNA". It matches the Rfam family "Bacterial small subunit ribosomal RNA", at positions 521 to 896 of the family's 1533-position model. The record is from RNAcentral.